This 829-nucleotide long non-coding RNA is filed under the name Triticum aestivum (bread wheat). RNAcentral's name for it is "long non-coding RNA (TAES_LNC022898)". The record is from RNAcentral. Lineage: Eukaryota; Viridiplantae; Streptophyta; Magnoliopsida; Poales; Poaceae.
AAAAUUAAAAACUGGUUGAAGCAAAAUUUAUUUCCGGUUGUAUCAAAAAUUGCUUUGCAUCUCUGAAAAAACAUAGUCUCCAGCAAAAAAAAUCCAAAGGUUCCAGCAAAAAAAGAUGUUGGUUGAAGCAAAAUUGCUUGUCGGUUGUAUCAAAAAUUGCUUGCCGAUCCCAUCGAAGAAGAAAGCCAUUGCCGCCAUGGGCAAACACCGCCAUUGGUGGAUGUAGCAAAGAUUAUCUUCGGUUCCAACAAAAUAAUAACAUGGUUGUAGCAAAAAAAAUCGCCGGUCAUAGCAAAGUCCGGCAAUGGAUGUAGCAAAACUUUGUCACCGCCCGUUGUGGUUGCAGCUUCGCCGUGAAAUACUUGUAGCAAAAAUUAUCGUCAGUCGUACCAAAAUCUGGCAAUGGAUGUAGCAAAACUUCGUCACCGCCGUCAUGCUUACAGCUUCGCCAUGAAAUCCUUGUAGCAAAAUUUUGUGUCAGUAGUAGCAAAAUCUGACGAAGGUUGUAGCAAAAAAUCAUAACGACACGCACCCCACUCUCCGCCAGCCCCGCCGGUUGAAACAUCCCCGGCCGGCUGCUCCCCAGUCGCGGGCCCUCAUCGUCUUCCUUGCACUAACGCGCCUCCCCCUUGCGGCGUGGGCAGGGAAGGGGGUAACCAGCUACAUAGCUCCCACGCCCGGCCCAGGCUCGCAGGCUCGCGGCGUCUCCCGGCCGGAGCAGCAGCAGAUGGCCGCACCUUCAGCGGAGACAUGGAAGAGCUCGUCCUGCGGUGUUGAGGAAUUUAACGGAGGAGAAGAGAAAAGAGAUAGACUGCGAGGGGAAUGGUUG